This 274-nucleotide ribosomal RNA is filed under the name uncultured bacterium. Its description in RNAcentral is "partial 16S ribosomal RNA". It matches the Rfam family "Bacterial small subunit ribosomal RNA", at positions 523 to 796 of the family's 1533-position model. The record is from RNAcentral.
AUACGAAAGGUGCAAGCGUUGUUCGGAUUUACUGGGCGUAAAGAGAGUGUAGGUUGUUUAUUAAGUCGGAUGUGAAAUCCCGGGGCUCAACCCCGGAACUGCAUUCGAUACUGAUAGGCUUGAGUUCGGGAGGGGUAAGCGGAAUUCCGUGUGUAGCAGUGAAAUGCGUAGAUAUACGGAGGAACACCUGAGGCGAAGGCGGCUUACUGGACCGAUACUGACACUGAGACUCGAAAGCGUGGGUAGCAAACAGGAUUAGAAACCCGAGUAGUCC